AUGACUAUUUUUUAAUUUUCAAAAUAUAUGGUUCCUUUUAAUAAGAUUAAAAGCAAGUUGUAUGUCGUCUUUGGAACUUCAAAAAAUCGUACCCUAACUUACGGGGUUUCGAUUUCCUCGUCAAACUAAAACAGCCAAACAUUUAUAACUUACGGGAUAAAACAUUUGGAACUUCAAGGUUAGCUUAUGCUCGAGAAUUCAAACGUUGCAUCCUAACUUACGAGAUACGACAUUUUGUUGCCUCUUGAUGAGAAACCCUUUUAUAUUCGUUCAAAUCUAUCCAAACAUUAUUUUAAAAUAUGACAUUAAUAAAAAGGGGAAAUCAUUUUUAAUCUCUUCGAAUUUUCGACAUUCAACUUUAAGACAUUAAUUAAUCAAUUAAGUACCAAUUUUGAGCGUGACGAGAGUGCUAAUCAUUCCUCACACGUAACCGACUCCCGAACCCAUUUUUUUCGAAUUUCGUAGACCAAAAAUCAUUGUUUUAGUAAAUUAAAACUCUUAUUAAAACGAUCAUAUUACGAGGUGAUCCGAUCACACCUCAUAAAAAAAAGAUUAGUGGUGACUCCUAUUUUCAUUUUCGUUUUCAAAGUAAAAGUCGACCCCUUUUAUAAAAAAAUGGUUUCGACAUGCUUAAUUACAAAUGUAUUAAAAUCAUUAAUUAAAAAUAAAAAAUAUUUUUUUAAAAUACUAAUUAAAAAUAUUUAAUAGUUAUAUUCAAAUAUUUAAAAUAUAGUUUAUAUAUUUUAAUUAAAUUUUAUAAAUAAUUAAUAUUUACUGCUUAAAAAUAUUUAAAAUUUAUAUUUCAUAUAUUAAAAUAUUAAAAACAAGUUAUAAUAAUUUUUUCAUAUUCUUACUAAAAUAUAAUAAUAUUAACUAAUUUAUGUGUGUUUUAUCUUUAAAAAAAGUCUGCUACCCUAGCAUGUCUCUGUCUGCCCUUCUGGCAAGUCUAGGUUUUCUUUUUUUUUUUUCAAUAGUUUUUUUGGUUUGACGGCUGAGUUUUCCAGUGUUGUGAACAAUCUUCUCCUGCAAGUGGAAGGAGAAAUAGAAUCGGUAAGUAAAGAAGAAGAUUUAAGUCUAGUUGGGUGUUUCCUUACAGCCAGAAUCAUGCAUUACCCAGCAAUGAAAAAUACUAUGGCUAAUUUAUGGCAUCCAAUCAAGGGGGUUCAAAUUAGAGAUUUGGGAGAAAAGAGGUAUAUUUUUAAAUUUUUUCACAUUAUGGAUAUGGAGAAAGUUAUUAAAGGGUCCCCUUGGACAUUUAAUAACCAUCUGCUGAUUCUGCAUAAGUUGCAAUGGGGAGAGGACCCACUCAGAAUUCCAUUAAUUUCAUCAUCUUUUUGUGUACAAGUUCAUGAGGUUCCCAUUGGUUUUUACUCUGAAAGUUUAGCCAUGCAAUUAGGAAAUUUUAUUGGAACUUUCCAGGAGUAUGAUAGUUCUAGUUUUGGGGAAAGAAAAUAUGAAUUAUAUGCGGAUUAGAGUACACAUUGAUAUCCGUCGCCCUCUCAAAAGGAAAAAACAGAUUAAAUUUAAGAAUAUGUGUUCUUAUGUCAGAUUUAAGUAUGAGAGAUUAACUCUCUUUUGCUUCUCCUGUGGCCGGUUAGGGCAUAACGAUUCCUUUUGCAAAGCAAAAAUGGAAGCUGAGGUUGAAAUAGAAGAAAUGGGAUGGGAUCUAUCUUUGCGGGCACAGUCAAUGAGAGCACAAGCAAUGCGCAGUGCCUAGUUAAGGGAGGAGGGAUGAUCAGUAGGCAAAAAUAAUAGAUAUGAAUUCAAGAGUGAUAGAGAUUGGAGGAAAGUAGGAAAAUUUGAGAAUAUUCCGGAUCCAAUUCUAGGUUUUAAUCUGGAAGGUAACGGGCUUUACGCAGAGCUAGAAAGUUCAAGGAAGCUAAUUGGUAAUAAUAACAUAGAGAUGGAGCAUGAUUUGGAGAAUGAGCUGAUUGUAGGAGAGGAGGGGAAAAAGAGGACUAGAGGGGAAAUAGAAGAAAAUAUGGAGGCAGGAGGGAAGAAUAGGAGAAUGGCUGAAUCUAACCAUUUGUUAUCGGCGGCUGCCAAGAGGCAAGCCGACCAGUCGCAAUGAAAAUCUUAAGCUGGAAUGUCCGAGGGUUGGGGAAUCCUCAGACAGUUCGACGACUUCGGCAUUUGCUGAAGCAACAUCAUCCCCAAGUGGUCUUCUUAAUGGAGACAAAAUUAAACAAAAAUAAAAUGGAAAAAAGUUCAAAGAAGGUGUGGGUUUCAGUUUGGCAUUGAUGCUGACUCGAUUGGAUCGAAAGGUGGGCUAAGUUUGGCAUGGCAAGAAAAUGUUAAUAUUAAACUACAAAGCUUUUCAAACCGACAUAUUGAUGUGUUUAUUGAGGAUGGAGAGGAAGGGAAAAUAUGGAGACUUACAGGUUUUUAUGGAUCCCCUUAUUCACAAGACAGGGAUGCAACAUGGAAUCUAUUGAGGCAAUUACGAAAUCAGGGAGAAUACCCUUGGUUGGUUUGCGGGGAUUUUAAUGAAAUCUUAUAUGGUUUCGAAAAGAAAUGUGGAUUACCUAGGGAGGAAAGAAGAAUGGAGGCAUUUAGACAAGUUUUAGAAGAUUGUAAUCUGGUUGAUUUGGGAUAUUCUGGCAGAUGGUUCACAUGGGAAAGAGGAAACUUAAUUGAAACAAAUAUUCAGGAGAGACUUGACAAAGGUGUUGCAACGGAGCAAUGGAGCGACUUAUUCCCAAACAAUUUGGUACAUCUUCCACAUUCAUUCUCGGACCAUUGUCCAAUUGUUUUAGAUACGGCUUACAAGAAUGGAGAGAGGGCAAGAAGAAACUUCAAGUUUGAAGCGUGGUGGGUACUAGAAGAAACAUUCUUUAGUGGAACUAAAAGAAUUUAGGAAAAUUCUACAGGAGGUCUUAUAAACAAGCUGGAGAUCCUCAAAUAAGGGUUGGAGAAGUGGGGAGUUAAAAUCUAACAGAAUAGGAAAAUGAAAACAAAGGGUUUGACUUCAAAAUUGAUAGCAUUACUUGAAGAAGACAGAAGUGAUGAGAAUCUGGCAGAGAUUAUUGAUACAAAAAUCCAUCUGAACUUUGAGAUUGAAGAAGAUGAGAGUUACUGGGAACAGAGGGCCCGAAUUAAUUGGCUAAAGCUAGGGGAUAAAAAUACAACUUUCUUCCACAAGCAUCACAAAGAAGAAAACUUAAUCAGAUACAUAAAUUGCAAUCAGAAGACGGAAGGGAAACAGAUGAGUGGAAGGAAAAGGAGGAAAUCGCUAGAUUGUAUUUUCAAAAAUUAUUUAAUACAGGAGGACAAAAUCAUUGCGAUAGAAUCCUAACAGGUAUUGAAGGCCGUAUCACAGAGGAAGACAAUAAUACUUUAAAGGCAAGAUACACAAAAGAAGAGAUACUGGAAGCGCUUUUUAGAAUGGGACCUACAAAAGCUCCAGGAGAGGACGGUUUUCCAGCCCUGUUUUAUCAAAAGUGUUGGCCAAUUGUUGGAGAGGAUGUAACCAAUUUUUGUCUUCAGAGGUUAAACGAAGGUAUGGAUUUACAUUCAAUCAAUAAAACAAACAUUGUGCUUAUUUUAAAAGUCCUGAAUCCCUCAAGGAUUACUCAGUUUCGACCAAUUAGUUUAUGCAAUGUGAUUUACAAGCUAAUAGCGAAAGUUAUUGCUAGACGACUCAGAGGAGUAAUGCAUAAAUGUAUUGAUUUAGCUCAAAGCACUUUUGUCCCAGGAAAGCUGAUUUCAGAUAAUGUCUUACUUGCGUAUGAAAUCUUACAUACUCUAAAACUCAAGAGGGUGGGGAAAAGAGAAUUCAUGGCUAUCAAACUUGAUACGAGUAAAGCAUACAAUAGAGUCAAAUGGAGCUUUGUGGAAAGGGUAAUAAAAAAGUUGGGUUUUGAUCCAGGAUGGGUUGUUUCAAUUUUGAAAUGUGUCUCAACGGUCUCAUAUGAGGUGAUUAUCAAUGGCAACAGAGGGCAAACGAUAAUUCCAUCUAGAGGAAUCAGACAAGGUGACCCUCUCAGUCCGUUCUUAUUUCUGUUCUGUGCAGAAGGUCUAUCGAGUUUAAUGCGGCUUGCAAAAGAAUAAAGUAUCCUUAGAGGAGUUAAAGCAAGUCAAAGAGGACCAGCUAUCUCACAUUUACUCUUUGCCGAUGAUUGUAUUUUAUUUGCAGAAGCUUCAGAAAAAGGGGCACAUGCUUUAAAACAGAUUCUAAAGGAAUAUGAAUUGAGUUCAGGGCAAUGUGUGAAUUAUGAAAAAUCAACUGUUUUCUUCAGUACAAACACAGAAGAGCAUGUAAGGGGUAAUGUCUCAAUGAUCCUAGGAGUUAGAAGAGCGAAUGAUAUAGAGAGAUACCUAGGGCUUCCUAGUAUGGUGGGAAAAAGAAAGAAAAUAUCUUUUCAAAGUUUGAAAGACAGACUCAAACAAAGGAUUGAUAAUUGGAGUACAAGGUUUCUAUCCCAAGGAGGCAAGGAAGUUUUUAUUAAAGCAAUCUUACAAGCUAUCCCAACGUAUUCAAUGUCGUGUUUUCUACUCCCUAAGACCCUAUGUACGGAUCUGGAAAGAAUUGUUGCUAAUUUCUGGUGGCGUAAGAAAUGGAAUAAAAAAAGUAUCCAUUGGUGUACCUGGGAGAAUCUUUGCUUAUUAAAAGAAAAUGGUGGUCUUGGUUUCCGAAAUUUUAGGAAGUUUAAUAUUGCUUUAUUAGCGAAACAGGGUUGGCGUCUUGUUAAUUACCCAAAUUCAUUAUUAGCUCGUGUUUUGAAAUCAAAGUAUUAUCCCAAUUCAGAUUUCUUGAAAGCUCGGCUAGGAAAUUUACCUUCACUUACCUGGAGAAGUGUUUGGUCUGCGAAAGGUCUGCUUGAAAAAGGUCUAUGCUGGAGAGUAGGUCGAGGUGAUAGGAUUUCCAUCUGUGAUGAUCUGUGGUUACCAGGAAAGGAAAUGGUUAGAAUACCGAAUCAAGAAGUGAAUGGUAAUUUUGAAUUUGUCUCAGAGUUGAUUGAACCAAGUAACAGAAAGUGGAAAACAGAGCUAAUAAAGGAUACCUUCAAACCAGCUGUAGCGGAGAAAAUAUUGAGGAUCCCAUUGGCGGAGACAGAACAUGAAGAUCUUCAAGUUUGAAAAGGGGAGUCGACCGGAGAAUUUUCAGUUAGGAGCGUCUAUAAACAAUUACAUGAGUUGACUUUGGAUCCUAAUGAGUUAUUUUUACAUACCGAAACUAUAAGCUUUUACAGGAAACUAUGGACAUUACAAAUUCCAUCGAAAAUCAAAAUGACUAUAUGGAGGAUUUCAUGGAACUAUAUCCCCUCUUUUCUCAAUCUCAAAAUAAAGCGGGUUUUGGUGAAUACUAAAUGUCCCAGAUGUGAGUGUGAAGAAGAAAGCAGUCUCCAUAUUUUCCAACAGUGCCCUGCAGUGAUUGAGGUCUGGUAUCAUCUUAAUCUUUCGUGGACAUUGAACUACAAUAAUGAGGAUUUAUGGAGAUGGCUUAUCGGAAUCUUUGGUCAAGGAAACGAGGAGCAGUUGCGACUAUUCUGCUGUGGACUAUGGUAUAUCUGGUUCAGUAGAAAUCAACUUAUUUAUGGAAAAAAUCAAAUGUCAGGAUCAGAAAUAGCAAGGAAAAUUAGAAACUAUUUAACAGAACUCGAAGCAGCAAAAAAAGAUAAACCUACCUUCCAUACUUCUGACUGUUAUCAACAGGUUUUCAAAAGGGGAUGGGCAACUGUUCAUUUUGAUGCAGCGUUUGAUAGUCAGACGUUCAGAUCGGCAUCGGGGUUAAUAGUUUGGAAUGGGGAAGGGGAAAUCCUUGCGUCUUUAGCAGUUCUCCACUCCAACAUCGAAGAUUCAUUCACAGCGGAGGCUCAUGCAGGAUUACAAGCAAUCACUCUAGGUAUUAAUUUGGGAAUCAACAAAAUAGAGAUAAUGGGUGAUGCAAAAACAGUUAUCAAAAAGUGUAAAAGUUCCAUUACAGAUAGAUCGGUCAUUGGAGCAAUAAUCAGAGAUAUUCGGAACCGGAAAAAUUGUUACCAGGAGAUUAAGUUUUCUUUUAUUCCAAAAGCAAAAAACAUCUAUGCUCACACUAUUGCAACGGAGGCUCUUAAGAGAAGCGAAAGUUUUUACUUGGAGAAGGGAGUCCCAGAGACAGUCAUUCGAGUGCUAGAGAGGCGCGGAUGGAAACCUCCUGAUUGAAGAAAUGAAAGGUUCUUAUGCAAUAAAGGAUAGCAGAGUAAGAGAAGCAUUGGAACCUGCUAUCAUUAAAGCUGGUGGGUGGCUCUGAACGGAAAUGACAAAGUGAUGUCCAGCUAUAUUGAUUUGACUGGGUUUGGAUAAGUACGAGUUUUAUUUUAUUUUGUUUAUUUAUUAGGCCCAAUUUGUUUCUGGAUAAGCACGAGUUUUAUUUUACUUUAUUUUGUUUAUUUAUUAGGCCCAAUUUGUUUCCAGACUUUCUUAUGUAAGGCCUUAGGCCAUUCUCAUUUGUUCAUGAUUUAUU
Molecule: long non-coding RNA, 6445 nt
Filed under: Gossypium barbadense (sea-island cotton)
Lineage: Eukaryota; Viridiplantae; Streptophyta; Magnoliopsida; Malvales; Malvaceae
Description: long non-coding RNA (GBAR_LNC022063)
Source: RNAcentral